Molecule: ribosomal RNA, 499 nt
Filed under: Candidatus Endomicrobiellum devescovinae
Lineage: Bacteria; Pseudomonadati; Elusimicrobiota; Endomicrobiia; Endomicrobiales; Endomicrobiaceae
Description: bacterial SSU rRNA
Rfam family: Bacterial small subunit ribosomal RNA
Source: RNAcentral
UUUAUGGAGAGUUUGAUCCUGGCUCAGAGUGAACGCUGGCGGCGUGCCUAACACAUGCAAGUCGUGCGGGAUUGUGCAGAGUAUCGCAUGGUCUAGCGGCAAACGGGUGAGUAACACGUAGGAAACCUCCCUCAAAAUGGGGAAUAUCUCCGAGAAAUCGGAGUCAAUACCGCAUAAGACCACAGUUUGGCAUCAAAUAGGGGUUAAAGCAGUAAUGCGUUUUGAGAUGGUCCUGCGGACUAUCAGCUAGUUGGUGGGGUAAUAGCCUACCAAGGCUAUGACGGGUAUCCGGCCUGAAAGGGUGAACGGACACACUGGAACUGAGACACGGUCCAGACUCCUACGGGAGGCAGCAGUGGGGAAUUUUGGACAAUGGGGGAAACCCUGAUCCAGCGACGCCGCGUGGAGGACGAAGGUCUUCGGAUUGUAAACUCCUUUUAGAGGGGAAGAAAAAAAUGACGGUACCCUCAGAAAAAGCCACGGCUAACUACGUGCCAGC